RNAcentral lists this ribosomal RNA (274 nucleotides) under uncultured bacterium. Its description in RNAcentral is "partial 16S ribosomal RNA". It matches the Rfam family "Bacterial small subunit ribosomal RNA", at positions 523 to 796 of the family's 1533-position model. The record is from RNAcentral.
AUACGGAGGGUGCAAGCGUUAAUCGGAAUUACUGGGCGUAAAGCGCGCGUAGGCGGCUUGAUAAGUCGGAUGUGAAAUCCCCGGGCUUAACCUGGGAAUUGCAUUCGAUACUGUCAGGCUAGAGUGUGGUAGAGGGAAGUGGAAUUUCCGGUGUAGCGGUGAAAUGCGUAGAUAUCGGAAAGAACAUCAGUGGCGAAGGCGGCUUCCUGGAUCAACACUGACGCUGAGGUGCGAAAGCGUGGGGAGCAAACAGGAUUAGAAACCCUGGUAGUCC